This is a long non-coding RNA of Bubalus bubalis (water buffalo), 631 nucleotides long. RefSeq lists it as uncharacterized. NCBI's taxonomy places the organism in Eukaryota, Metazoa, Chordata, Mammalia, Artiodactyla, Bovidae. The transcript is spliced from 2 exons. The record is from RefSeq and is a predicted model, not a curated record.
CAGUCGUGUCCGACUCUGUGCGACCCCAUGGACUGCAACCUACCAGGCUUCUCUGUCCAUGGGAUUCUCCAGAAGCACAGACAUCAUCGAAGCAGGACUCUGAUCAACAGCCUCUGGAGACAUGAAAAUGUGUGAGAUGAGCUGGACCCGCUGGCUUGAUCCUGUCCUCUGCAGUGUGCAUGUCCUUGAUUUGAUCCGUCUUCCUCUGCUGGAUUUCCCCAGGCUUUCAUGUGUUUCCUUUCAAGUGCGAGCUUCGGAUGUGACACAUUUUGAAGCUGUGUUAGUAAAUAGACUUAUGUGAAGAGGAUGAGAGAAGACACAGAACUGAUCUUGGAGGUGAUUUUCUGCCAAACUACUCUAGUUAGUCACACCAGCAGUACAGAGAGCCAUCUUUAAAAUCCUUUUAUAUGUACUAGGAUGGGAAAGUUCCUUUCCACUAGAGGGGAAAUCGAUUAUGGUGCUACUGAUAAGAAUAUCAGUAGAACAAAAGGCUCAUGAAGGCAGGGAUUAUUUGUCCUCUUGUACCCAAUGCCUGGCAUAAAGUAGGGAAUUGUAUAUAUUCUACUGAGUGAAUGCAUGAAUGAAAUCCGUGCUAUAUCAAUUGUGCUUUUAUAAUAAAUUUAAAAAUCUU